UACGUAGGGGCUAGCGUUGUCCGGAAUCACUGGGCGUAAAGCGCACGUAGGCGGCUUUUUAAGUCAGGGGUGAAAUCCUGGAGCUCAACUCCAGAACUGCCUUUGAUACUGGGAAGCUUGAGUCCGGAAGAGGUGAGUGGAACUCCGAGUGUAGAGGUGAAAUUCGUAGAUAUUCGGAGGAACACCAGAAGCGAAGGCGGCCAACUGGCCCGAUACUGACGCUGAGGCGCGAAAGCGUGGGGAGCAAACAGG
This 252-nucleotide ribosomal RNA is filed under the name uncultured bacterium. Its description in RNAcentral is "partial 16S ribosomal RNA". It matches the Rfam family "Bacterial small subunit ribosomal RNA", at positions 524 to 776 of the family's 1533-position model. The record is from RNAcentral.